RNAcentral lists this long non-coding RNA (440 nucleotides) under Androctonus crassicauda. Lineage: Eukaryota; Metazoa; Arthropoda; Arachnida; Scorpiones; Buthidae. The record is from RNAcentral.
AGAUCAGGGCAUGUAUUUGUAGUAGUAUACUCCGUGUUACUAAUAGUAGCAGAAUUCCACUACUAUCAAUGGACUUUUGACUGUUUAGAAGUAUAUCGGUGAUGGCAAUGAAUUCAUGAAAAAAUAGCAAUAUUUUGGACAUUUGGAUAUGGAACUUCAAUUAUAUGUACUUAUACAGGGUGUCUCACAAAGAACCGAACAUAGAGGGGGUUAAGGUCCGAAGGAUCGCUGUUUGCGCAGGUCCAUUAUGUGGUGCGGGCGAAGUGAUGCUCUGCCGUGGGGAGGGGGACAGGCGAUGCGUUCUUGCAUGGAACGCAUCGCUUGUUUCGAUGUCGAUGCUAGCGAUGUGGUGGUCGAUAUCGAUGCUGGAUGUUUCAUGCGUUUAUUCGCACUUACAUAGUGCGAAUAAACGCAUGAAACAUCGCUAGCAUCGAUAUCUA